GCAUUUAUUAAAAAUUAUUUAUUAAAAUUUAUCUGGUCAGUUACCACACUUCUGCAUAAUCCUGUUUUCAGUAUUUGAGACAAUGAGGGAACUACGCACUCCCUUGAACUCUGCAGAAUUCAAUUUUUAAGGUCAGCCUUCAAGAUCAGUGCAAGGAUAUAUAAAGCCCCCUGAGAGACCACCCAUCUUGACAAUUUAAAUGAGAAUAGCCUUGAACACAGAAGCAUGACCAAAGGAGUGACACAGACACUGGCAGUGCCCAUCACUGCCCCGGCCUAGGACAGCUCCAUCCUGCAGAUUCCCUGUGUCCUGAGGGUCCUACGGCCAGAGCCGUCCAUUUCCAGAAAUGGAUCAGUUAAACUCCCGGUUCUGAUUCCAGGGUCAUCCGUACUCCAGAAAUGAUGGGCUUUGCAUUUAUAGCUGCUUACAGGGAGUCUGGCUGUUCUGGUCGUGCUGACAGACAGAGGUCAUGUCACUACUGCUUUGUAGCCUGGCAUUCUGUUUGAUGUGUUAGUCUCAUGAGCUUGGUUGAUGAGUCCACUCCUGAGAGAUACAGUCACUCUUUUCGUUUUUUUUUUUUUUCUGCAAUGGCUGAGUCCUCAGCAUAUGGAAGUUCCCAGGCCAGGGACUGAACCCGAGCCACAACUAUGACCUAUGCUGCAGCUGCAGCCUACACUGCAACUGUGGCUGUGCUCAGCCUGGGAUGGAACUCGUGCCUCUGCAGCAAGUCAGAUUUUUAACCCACUCCGCCACGGUUACUCCAAGAUGCGUUCCCUCUUGAGGUGCCACCCCCAUGGAUUUUCACAUGUGAUGCCCGAGAGUUAGGAUUUUCAGGAGCCGCAGCCGGGAGUAACUUCUCAUGGCAAAAAAUGUUAGCUUUCAGCAUUUCCCAGGCUGUGUUCAUCUAACACAGAUCUCUCUAGGACCUUGCUUUUUGAAUAUGUCACAGCAUAUAUAUGAAUAGCAUAACAACUCCAUACCCACAAAAGUUGGAAAAAAUCCAAAGUCCCCCAAACCUUAUAGAGAAUGUGGCAAGAGCUGUGAGCAAUCAGAGACUUAAGGAUAACUGGAGGAAGAAGAAAACACAGGAACAAGAGAAAUUUUGGUUUUUGCUUUUUAGGGCUGCACCCAUGGAAUAUGGAGGUUCCCAGGCUAGGGGUCGACUCGGAGCUGCAGCUGCCGACCCACACCACAGCCACAGCAACUCAGGAUCCAGGGCGAGUCUGCAACCUACACCACAGCUCACAGCAACACCAGAGCCUUAACCCACUGAGCAAGGCUAGGGAUCAAACCUGAGUCCUCCUGGAUACUAGUCGGGUUUGUUACUGUGAACCGCGAUGGGAACCCCUUACGAGAUUAUGUUGGCACCUAUCCUAUGUAUUUAGAAACUCUUAGUUUCCAGUUUCCCUUUGAGACUUAGAUUCCUGGCACCCCACUGUUGAGUUGAGUAUGAGC
RNAcentral lists this long non-coding RNA (1455 nucleotides) under Sus scrofa (pig). Its description in RNAcentral is "lncRNA (ENSSSCG00050034346.1)". Lineage: Eukaryota; Metazoa; Chordata; Mammalia; Artiodactyla; Suidae. The record is from RNAcentral.